RNAcentral lists this long non-coding RNA (220 nucleotides) under Hordeum vulgare. RNAcentral describes it as "long non-coding RNA (HVUL_LNC010423)". The record is from RNAcentral. Lineage: Eukaryota; Viridiplantae; Streptophyta; Magnoliopsida; Poales; Poaceae.
CUGAUCGAGUCAACUCGCCAAUCUGAGGGGGAAGUGUGGAUAAGCAGCCAAGCACCUUCUUUAUGGAAGUUAUGGGUUCUUUGGAACCCAUCACAGCUUUAACAGUCAAGACACUGCCUGUGUACAGUUGCUCUAUCAGCGUGUAAAUCGCCUUCACCAUCAGCACGCAGUCUUCUUGAAGGUUGGGGGCUCUCGAACGUGAGCAAGGAAUCAUGAUGAU